UAUGGCCACAUCACGUUGGGACUCCGUUUCCUCUACGAUCACCGAAGUUAAGCAACGCCGGGCCUGUCAGUACUUAGAUGGAUGACCAUUUGGAAAUACCAGAUACAG
Non-coding RNA from Acanthosepion pharaonis, 108 nucleotides. Lineage: Eukaryota; Metazoa; Mollusca; Cephalopoda; Sepiida; Sepiidae. The record is from the annotation of a GenBank genome assembly.